UACAGAGGUCUCAAGCGUUGUUCGGAUUCAUUGGGCGUAAAGGGUGCGUAGGUGGCGCCGUAAGUCGGGUGUGAAAUUUCGGAGCUUAACUCCGAAACUGCAUUCGAUACUGCGGUGCUUGAGGACUGGAGAGGAGACUGGAAUUCGAUGGUGUAGCAGUGAAAUGCGUAGAGAUCAUGAGGAAGACCAGUGGCGAAGGCGGGUCUCUGGACAGUUCCUGACACUGAGGCACGAAGGCCAGGGGAGCAAACGGG
This 254-nucleotide ribosomal RNA is filed under the name uncultured bacterium. Its description in RNAcentral is "partial 16S ribosomal RNA". It matches the Rfam family "Bacterial small subunit ribosomal RNA", at positions 524 to 776 of the family's 1533-position model. The record is from RNAcentral.